AUGCAGCAAAAGACCAUUUCAGAAAAUGUGAUAAUUAAGAUUCAGCAGCUAGAACAAGGCUGAAUGAAUAGGAAUGGAGAGCAUCAGGGAAAGUUAGGGGAGCAGUUAAGCUGAAGGGAUGAGUAAGCCACAAUUCUGUCUGGGAUCAUCAGCUCUAUCACUAGGAUAGAAUCCCAAAGCCCCCCUUGCUCUUGGUGUCUUCUCCUACCCUUAGAUUUGGGCAGGUUUCCCAAAACUAAGGUGAAACACACUGCUGGGGCAAGGUUAUGCAGCUGCCCUUGCCCAUAUGCUUAUUCUGCUUUGGUAUUUAAAAAAAAAAUUCUCACAUCCUCACCAGCCUUAACUCUGUCUUUCAGUUUUUUUGGCAGUAAGUGUGCCAAAGGUCAGGAAUUCUGGCAGAGUUUGAUUCAGCCCUGCUCUCCUGAUAGCAGCUAGCACAGGCCUUGGGGCAUAGAAGCUCUUGACAUGAAUUGACUCAAGUUAUUAUGACUUAGGAGGCCCCACCUAAUGGGCUCCCUGGCUACCUCUCCAACCACAAACAGGUCUCCCUGCUCUCUCCUCCCUGCACUGUUCCUGGAGAGCUGUGUUUUUGUUUCUGAGCCUUCUCAUUUAUUAUAUUUCAUCUAUUUGGAGUGCUUCCAGGCCCCCUUCCCUUUUUACUUGGCUAAUGAUUUAUCUUGUAGAGAAAUACGUAUAAAUGACUGGGCCUUUCACUUUUCCUAAACUAGGGCUUGUGACUAAGCAAGGGCAAGGAGGGGGUGUGCAGAGGCUUGCUUGCUGCCCGUGCCCUCUCCAGUGCAGUAACAGUUCCAGGUACCUAGAGCAAACAACCUGUAACCAGAGCCAUGGAAAUCACAGUGCCCCCAGUGGUACUCUGAUGGAGUUAGAAGGCGUGGGGGCCAGGAGCCAGUGCAGCCUUGGGAAGGAAGAAGAGAAGUGAAGGGGGAAGAAAAACAUGCUGAACAAGAAAAAGAUGUGAAGCAUCACAGACAGGAGAAGUUAAAGAAGUUAGCUAAGAAAAACAGAAGAUUUUUGCUAUGUAGUCCUAAGUGAGAUGAGCACAG
Long non-coding RNA from Canis lupus familiaris (dog), 1064 nucleotides. RefSeq lists it as uncharacterized. The record is from RefSeq and is a predicted model, not a curated record. The transcript has 4 exons. NCBI's taxonomy places the organism in Eukaryota, Metazoa, Chordata, Mammalia, Carnivora, Canidae.